RNAcentral lists this ribosomal RNA (135 nucleotides) under uncultured Actinomycetes bacterium. RNAcentral describes it as "uncultured actinobacterium partial 16S ribosomal RNA". It matches the Rfam family "Bacterial small subunit ribosomal RNA", at positions 355 to 507 of the family's 1533-position model. The record is from RNAcentral. Lineage: Bacteria; Bacillati; Actinomycetota; Actinomycetes.
UGGGGAAUCUUGCACAAUGGGCGAAAGCCUGAUGCAGCAACGCCGCGUGCGGGAAGACGGCCCUAGGGUUGUAAACCGCUUUCAGCAGGGAAGAAACUGACGGUACCUGCAGAAGAAGAUGCGGCCAACUACGUG